AGUUUUCAGGAAGACCAGUAAAAAAUCAUAGUACCAUUUAAAAUCCAACCCAUCAUUUCAAGCGGGUUUUAAAUAGAAGGUAUUUCAAAGCAGGGAGGGAGGGAGCCGGAUAGAGAGUUUCAUAAGUAUGGGGCCACCACAGAAAAGAACCUGUCUCUUGUGCCUGCCUGUCUCCUGUAAUACGGAAUUUUAAAAAUCUGCUUUUUAGUGGUUAUUAGUUGCUUUGGAAAAGCAGCAUAUAAAAUCUUUAGAUAACUAAAAGUGUCAUCAUGUCAUCUGUCUGAGGUAUGUCAACUGUCUAUUUGUCAGCUGCUCUGCUCCUGGAUCUGAUAUGGGGAGGGCAGCCAGACCCCUCCCUAGCAUUGAGAAGAACAAGGGGAACUUCACCAAGCCCCUCCCGUGAGAAUUUCAGCUGCUAUCAAUGGUAAUUGAUAGAGGAACCCUGAGGGAAGAACGAUGUGGCAGGAAUUAUCCAGUCCCCAUAAGCAGCCAAUCCACAUUUUUCUUCUUGUUCAUUUUGAAUAGAGACUAUUUAUUAUUGAAAUUGCUUGUAAUAAUGAAUGAAAGCUGCUGAAAAUGUGAAUAUAUCCUGCCCUUGUGCAUUGCCUGUUUGAAAACUUGAGCAUGUCUGGCUUAUUAAAUAAAAUGUUUAUUUCAAAGAAAGUGAUUGGUGUCUCUCACAGCUCACUUAAGAAUAGGUUUUAAUUUUCCCUGAAUGUCUGCUGUGGGUUAGGGAGCUGGUGGCUGUUUUUAAUUUUGCACAACCAUCUAGCAUAACAUAUGAAAAAUAAUUGCAUUACGAGUGCUGAGUACAUUUCAUACCAAAAAUGCAUCUGUUCUAAAUCUAGUAUGUAAUUGGUUGGUAGUAUUGCAAAGCGGAGGGAGACGAGACAAACUGGAGGAACCCUAAUAAUUCAUAACGUUGAGAAUCAGCAUUUGCAGUAUUUUUGUGGCUUGCUGGGCAUGGUUUCAGUCAUCCUUUAAAUCCUUUUUCAACUCAGUAGUUCUGGUGCUUCCUUAAACAUGUGUGCAAUGCCCUAUGCUCUUGAGUAAUGUCUUGGUUUUUUUUUUGGAAAACCCAAGGGGUUAUACAGGGGUUAAGUUCUGGGCCUCUGCGUUCAUAAGCAAAAUGGGCAUAUGUGUGGAGCCCACUGCAGUAGUUAAAGCUUCCUGCCCAAUAGCUGUUGUGUGGGGUAGCGCAGCAGCAGCGAUAGCUCCCAUCCACCAUUUUGGAAAUCUUUUUUGGAGUCGGUUUCCCCCCUGUACUUUUGGCUUGCUGACAUCCUCUUCAGGCUCUUUGAGGGAGGGUUUCCUCAUAUGAGCCACUAUGACUUUCCAUCGCUCUCCUGCCAUUUCAGGAUAUAAUUGAAUUAUUUAUUUCUGGGCGCAGGUGUCUGUAAGUAAGUCAGUACAGUGGACGCUCAGGUUGCGAAAGUGAUCUGUGAGGGAUGCAUGUUCGCAAACCUGCAGAGUUCGCAACCUGCGUCUGCGCACGCGCGGGUCACGAUUCGGCGCUUCUGCACAUGUGCGACUGCCGAAACCCAGAAGUAACCCGUUCCGGUACUUCCAGGUUUCGGCGGUCCAUAACCUGAAAAAACGCAACCUGAAGCGGCUGUAACCCGAGGUAUGACUGUACUGGAGCCAAAGGAGGUGAGCUAAAUGGUAUCAGGUAAACAUUGAAUCUGCAUCACUACCCAGUUAUGUCCAAAUAACUGGGAACUAGGAAACCAGAAAGCUAAAAUAGCCUCCUUACUUCAGUAGGUCAGUGUCUGUCAUCUCCUAGAUCUGGUCUGGUAAGAGUCAUGCUCUUGGCAAAACAAACUGACUUUGUCUUCCUCCAUCUCUACUUUUGCCUCAUCCCUCUCAGCUGUGCUCCCCCACCCUUUGUCUGAAAACACCUGGAACCAUGAUCCUGAAGCCUGACUGUACAGUAUAUGCAUAUGCAUAUAUUUCCAAAUUUUUGUUUUUCUUUAUUUCAGCUACAGUAAUCGGCUGUAGGCUGGGGGGAGUCAACAACAGAAGGUGCCUAUAGUGAUUUGUUUUUACUGCAUAACAAAUUACAGUUAUCUGCGCUGGCCAAUAUGUCUGGCAGCAUUCUUAUUUCUGGCAAAGGAGAGGCCUUGGAAAGAAUUGUUCAUAAAUUCCCAGGUACCAGAUUCUCAGUGUGCACGUGAGAUUUCUGGGAAGCAUUGGUAUGGAAGCCAUUUCAUUGGAUGGAAUGCUUGACUAAACUGGACACUGUGGCUAUUAGGGAAUUACAUUGGCUCUGCUUUACAAAUAUGUAUAAUAAACAGCAACUAUAAAUGUGCUUGGGGGGAAAAUAUCAGUUGAGAUGAUACCAAAUCCAAAGCCAAACCAGUAAUUUAUUAAUAUUAUUCUACAUUAUGCAUUAAAGUAAACGUCCCAUUUCCAGGAACAGUGUUUGAUUUCAACAGAAAUCUGUCGAGUUUUUUGUGGUAUGGGGAUGCAUUCUCAAGAUCUUGAAUUAUUUGGUUGUCUUUCUGCUCUCCUUUCCUUCUCUCCUUUCUUACCACUAUUAAGGAAGCUUCUGUUAAUAGCAACUUCUUUGUGGUCUCUGGAAAAACUCCAUUCUGAAAUGUGUGGUUCUCUGACAGUGACCAGCCCUAAAAUCCCAUAUGGGGUGUCCUCUCCCAUUACAUGAGGGUUUGAGGGCAGAUUUCGCUUAGCUCUAGGUUCCAAACGCUCCUUUCCACAGGGGCAGACCCCCACUUGAGCAACAGCAGAUAACCUCCGGGAGAACCACACUCACAGGUAAGCAACUUGUUUUUGCAAAGGCCUGCCCUUUCCAAAUUAUUGAAAUCUGGGCUGCGUUAACUUCCUCAGUCUCGGAACUCUGUGCAUCUUUAUCUCCAUUUAUUAGUUCCUUCAUUAUGACACUGCAUUUAAUGCCCCUGCUUGACUAUUACCCAUUUAAAUAGUUCAUUCUUUAAGCCCAUUUAAUUCUUUAUCUAAUUGAUUAAUAAGCUCACAAGUAUUAUCUUAUUCCCAGCACAUUAGCAAUCAGUGUCUCUGGGCCAGCCCCAUAGUCUAAUUGAAGUGCAGCCGAGUUUCUCUUUUCAAGGCUAUCACAGAUAAGGAGCCAGAGGCAAAGUGCUCUUUUCCUGCAGAGAGGAAGUUAUUCACAUUGCCCCCUAAUGAUCGCUCUUCUGGCUAGCAUUUGUCUUGAGCCACCGAUGAGCACUUAAUUGGAAAUAUUUCCAAUGAAAUGGGCAGCUUUUCAGAGAUCCAGUAGUGAUAAGCAAUAAAUUGGAUUCUUUAAUAUCCUCUGCCUUCAACCAUUUUAAUGGAAGAGCUAGCAGGAAAUACUGUUUAAGAACUUAGGUUGUUGUUCUGCGACUGCUCAUUAUUCAAGUAUAACCUCAGCCGGAGCGUAUCUUUUAUCAAAAGCCGCAAAAAGAACUUGCCUGAAUUCAUUUGAUGGGCAUUUUCUAUCCAGUUCAUUGUUUCAUUAGGUCAUCAUGUAUCAGUGGCAGGUAGCGUUAUCCAAGACAGAUAAUAUUGCCUCACAGAAGCUGGGAACUUUGAUCAACGUAUCAAAGGGCUCAAAUGGGUUGUUGGUUUUAUGUCACCUAAGUAAUGGGGUGACUUCUUGUUUCUGUUAAGAAAGUGAAGAUGCAGAGGUGUCUCAUAGUACCAUUAAGUAUGGGAACCUGAUCUGGCAGAACUUGACAACUUGAUUUCUUUUGGUUAUGUUUGCUGUAACAGUGGAGAAAGAGUUGGACACGACUAAACGGCUAAACAACAACAGCAAACAGUGGAAUAAGUACUCACAUGUUGUAAGGAUAUGCCCAGUUCAUGCUUCUUAGUCCUCAAGAUCUACAUGGAGAUCUAUCUCACUGCAUACAGUCGUCUGACCACUAGUUGGUGCAAGUGAAAACUACUGUCUUACUCUGUGUGGUUUUGUGGCACAAACACAUUAAAAAAACAAAACACACACAAAAACGAUCCACUGUGGAACAACCCAAAAUAAUUCACCUGCAAAACUGAUCAAUACUUUUACAUGCACUUGUAUUACUUUUAUUGUUGCAAAUCUGAUUGUAUAUAUUUGUAGAAAGCAAUGAAAAUGAAAUACAGUGGUACCUCUGGUUAAGAACUUAAUUCAUUCGUUCUUAACCUGAAACUGUUCUUAACCUGAGGUACCACUUUAGUUAAUGGGGCCUGCCGCCGAGCCGCUGCCGCACGAUUUCUGUUCUCAUCCUGAUGCAAAGUUCUUAAUCUGAGGUACUAUUUCUGGGUUAGCGAAGUCUGUAACCUGAAGCGUCUGUAACCCGAGGUACCACUGUAAUGAUGAUGUUCACUAAUAAGAAGCUCUGGGAAUCAAGCUUUUAGAGAAGGGAAAGGUCCCCCAGUUUCAGUUGGGCAAAAAAUGCUCAAACUUGCCUUUUUCUUCCCCACAAAUUCUAAAUUUGCUCAUAAUUUCUGUCACCCUAAGAGGCCUCAGAUGGCUGUGGCUGAGGUGGGACCUUCUGCUGUUUCUGUGGCACUUCUAGCAAUUCAACACCCACCCACCCCAAUUUUCUGCUCUUUCUCCAGCAGCAGCAAGAGUUGGAAAGACUGGGGUCUUCUCCUCUCAACCCCAACACAUGGGACAUUGCUAGGGCAGGUUGCACAGGGAACCCUGGGAGGUGCGAUUUCCCCACAUUGCCGGAUGGAAUGUCAAGACAUCUAGAAAAAUUACGCUUUCAAGGACUCCCUGCUGGGGAAAGAGAGAGUUUGUGAAGGAGCCAUGAAUUUUCAGGUUUUAGCAGCAUCUGUAAUAGGAAUAGUUCAAAUAAAUAUUCAAAAGGUACCUUCAUGCAUAUUUCUCAUUUGUAUUAUAGUAUGCCUUUUGGAAAAUAUUUUAAUUUGAAGAAUAGUUGGCUGGUGGUGGCUGGUUUUUCAUUUUUUGCCUUACCACUAUAGAGUUGUGUGAAUAUCUGAACAGGCUGUUUAAAAUACAUAGUCAAGUGUUAAGGCUUUCGUUGCUUGUGGAGUUGUGGGUCGACUUGCAUCUCCCAGUGGUCUCAUCUCACGUGUUCUUUAGCAUAUCAUUUCUCAGUGGCAAUCUGCUGUUUUAGAAUAGCAGCUUGUAUGAACAACUAGUGAAUAAAUGGAUGGUUUCAGUGCCACACAGGGUGGAUAAAAAUCAAUGAUUUUUAAAAAUAAAUAAAUAAACAAAUCAGAUUUUUUUUUAAUGUAAAUCAGAUUUUUAAAAUAAAAUGCUUUUGGAGGGAAAAUCUUUCUAAAGAUAGUUUUCUGUUUAAGUUGCAUUAUAGUCCAAUGGCUUUUCAUCAGGAAAUAAGGAUUUGUUUUAAGUUUUUCAUGUGUGCUAAAACUCAUUCUAAGUUGUGUGUUGUUGUUUUUCUUAAAAACAACAACCUACGUUUAACCACAUCAGUUAACAAACAUGGAUACAUAUGCUAUAAUGUUAUUGCUUUAGUUGAAUAAAUUGUUUAAAUUGUUAUGAAGGAAAUGAUUAUUUUUCUCCUUCCGAUAAAGUACAGCAGAAAAGUUGUCCAAAUAUAAACAGUUAACUUAUUAAACCUCACAAUAAUUUCAUAAUUAUCUGUCUAUGUAUUUCUAACAGUAUAACCAAAUCACUAAUUUUUGAUAUAACUGUAAAAACUAUUCUGAAAAUUUAUUAUUCCAAAAAUGAAACCUUCCUCUGGUUGUGAAAUAUUAAGAUUAUACUAGCAAGAAUGAGUCUUUCCGUAAAAAAAAAAAGAUUUAAAUCAAGUCUUACUGACUAGUGAUCUAAAUCAAUUUGAUUUAAAUCACAUCCACCCUGGUGUAACAUGUUUGUUUCUCCUUUUGAAAGAAAUGGAAAUUACUUGAAAAUUAAAGACAUCUUGGGAGCC
This 5858-nucleotide long non-coding RNA is filed under the name Podarcis lilfordi (Lilford's wall lizard). The record is from RNAcentral. Lineage: Eukaryota; Metazoa; Chordata; Lepidosauria; Squamata; Lacertidae.